Molecule: ribosomal RNA, 473 nt
Filed under: uncultured bacterium
Lineage: Bacteria
Description: bacterial SSU rRNA
Rfam family: Bacterial small subunit ribosomal RNA
Source: RNAcentral
GACACGCUGGCGGCGUGCCUAACACAUGCAAGUCGAGCGGGGUUGAAGCGAGGGGUAACUCGAACUUCUACCUAGCGGCGGACGGGUGAGUAACGCGUGGGCAACCUGCCUCAAGGUCUGGGAUAACAGCUCGAAAGGGCUGCUAAUACCGGAUAUGCCUAUAGCCUCGCAUGGGGCUAUGAGCAAAGGGGAAACCCGCCUUGAGAUGGGCCCGCGUCCCAUCAGCUAGUUGGUGAGGUGAAGGCUCACCAAGGCGACGACGGGUAGCCGGCCUGAGAGGGUGACCGGCCACACUGGGACUGAGACACGGCCCAGACUCCUACGGGGGGCAGCAGUGGGGAAUCUUGCACAAUGGGCGAAAGCCUGAUGCAGCGACGCCGCGUGAGCGAAGAAGGCCUUCGGGUUGUAAAGCUCUGUCUGGAGGGACGAAGAAAGUGACGGUACCUCCGGAGGAAGCCACGGCUAACUACGUG